RNAcentral lists this long non-coding RNA (6770 nucleotides) under Medicago truncatula (barrel medic). RNAcentral's name for it is "long non-coding RNA (MTRU_LNC008844)". Lineage: Eukaryota; Viridiplantae; Streptophyta; Magnoliopsida; Fabales; Fabaceae. The record is from RNAcentral.
UAUUGAUUACUUAACUGAUUAAGCACAUAUGUUGAAAAAUCUGUAUACCUCUUCCUUGUUUUGAGAAAUGUUACCAAAAUUAAUACAAAGAGAAGUGAUAUUGUGUACUAUGAUAGUGUUGUUGUUUCAGGUUAACAAUAUAAUGCUAAAACUGUAAUUAGUUAAGUUUCUGGUGUUACAAGUAUUUGUUGAACUAAAACCAUUGAUCCUAAAUCUUUUUCUUAGAAUAAAUUAAGUUCAAAUUUCCCAUUUCUUUUCUUUUCAACAAUAAACCUGCAAGUUUUUUUUACUUCAAUCAUGUUCUUGCUUGAAUAAUGCAUAUAUAUAUAUAUAUAUAUAUAUAUAUAUAUAUAUAUAUAUAUAUAUAUAUAUAUCCUCUAGAAAAUCUACUUAAAUAUCUACCUAAAAAUGUCACGUGUGUUAGAAAUUGUGGAUAAGACCAAGUUCUCAGUUUUUUGCGUGGUACAAUUAUUAUUAUUUUUAAAUGAUAAUAAUAGCAAUUGACAUAAACUCACAUGGUGUAGGGACGCUCAAACAAUGUUUAAUUUCUUUUUCCCAGCUAAAUAUUUGACUAUAUAAGGAUGAUAUAGGACAAGGGUGGCCAGCAUGGACGAGAGGGGCGGGCCGCUCAGGGCACCAAUUCUUUAGAGACACUAAAAUAAUUAUUUUUUUACUUAGUAGUUAGUAGUACAUAAAUAUUUCUUUUUAACUCGAUUUGAUUAAUUAUAUUAAAAAUAUUUUUUAGAGAACCUUAUUUACGAAUGAAUCUUUUGCAACAAAAAAUGUAAGAAAAAAGACAUUUGAAUAACUAAAAGGGCCAGAACACUAAAAGUCUUAGGACCGGCCCUAAUACGGGAAAUUGCAUAGAUAAUGUAGUGUAAUAUAUACCUACAUUUUUUAUCGGAUAAAUAUAAUCUAUUUCAAGAAUCAAAGAGAGAAUGACAGUAAUUUUGUAGAAGCAGAAAACAACUUGUGAAAAUUAGUUAUAUUAAAGAAACUAAUGACCCUAUCAUCUAACACUUGUACAACUUUUCAUGACUCAUGUCAUUAAAUAAGCUCUUUCUAAAAUCUCCUAAACACACACACAUAUAUAUAUUCUUCAACAGAACAAAAUUUCACUCUCUUACUAUUUGUGUAGGAGCAAAAGAAAACGGUAGACCAAUCCAUGUUGCUAUGCUGCAAGUUCUUUAUCUCGGAAGGACGCAACAUCGCUACUCUUGAUGCAGUUGAACGAGCUGCAAGGUCGAAUCCAGAAACUGUCAUUGUGAACAAAUUUCAUGGUAGAUCUUACAACCGGGCAAGGUAUAGCCUUGUGUCAUAUGUUUUGCAUGACUGCACAGGAAAUGCCAUAUACAGCCCCUUACAACAAACUGUGGUGGCCAUGGCUGAGGCUGCAUUCAACACCAUCAACCUUGAAUUGCAUGAUGGGUCUCACCCCCGCUUAGGUGCAGUUGAUGACAUUGUUUUCCACCCACUUGCUUGUGCGUCGCUGGAUGAUGCAGCGUGGUUGGCAAAAGCUGUGGCGGCAGACUUUGGCAACCAAUUCAAUGGUAAUUCACAUAGGACUCAAUUCAUAGAAUGUAAAAAAUCAAUGUUUGUGUUGCAUAUUAUGUAGGUGGUUUUUCCUACUAUAGCAUAAAUUUCACGUCACUCGCUAACUCCAAGUGAAAUAUAUGUUUAAGUAUUGUUUAAAAUAUUUGGUCAUUACCAACAAAUAAUAUAUGUUUACCCUUCAAAAAAAAAAUAUGUUUAAGUACUUGCUUGAUUUUAUUGUGCUGCAGACGAUUCUUAGGGUUUUCAGUAUUUUAGUAUGCACCAGAUGAUUCUUAGUGAUGCCUCUGCAUAGCAAAUUUUGCUUAAGAAAAAAAAAAAACUUUCAUUUUAGAACAAUCAAAUCCAACAAUUUUAAGGACAUCAUACUUAAUCGACGAAAUGCAAGAGAAUUUCAUCUAUUUUUCUGUUGUCGCUUAAACUUCACUUUUGUUUAUGUGAAAAUGCAGUACCUGUAUUUCUUUAUGCUGCUGCACACCCAACAGGGAAACAACUCGACACAAUAAGGCGAGAGCUCGGGUAUUACCGGCCUAAUUUCAUGGGAAACCAAUGGGCAGGGUGGACUAUGCCCGAUAUCCUACCUCAAACACCAGACGAAGGGCCUAUUGUUGUUUCAAGAGCCAAAGGCAUCUCAAUGAUCGGUGCGCGCCCUUGGGUCGGGCUCUACAACAUACCAAUCUUAUCGACCGAUGUAUCUGCAGCAAGAAGGAUUGCAAGGAAGGUUAGUGCUCGUGGCGGCGGCCUUCCUACGGUGCAAACGCUCGGGGUUGUUUGUGAGGAUUCCGCUGAAAUAGCUUGCAUGCUGUUGGAGCCUAACCAAAUUGGAGCUGAUAGGGUUCAAAAUUUGGUUGAGAUGUUGGCAGCACAAGAAGGAUUGGAUGUAGAAAAAGGAUAUUUUACCGACUUUUCGCCAGAAAUGAUAGUAGAAAGAUACAUGAACCUGAUCUCGGCUAAAAAAUCAUCACCAUAACUAGUUAUAAUUGUUGAUGAACAAUCAAAAUCCAACUAGUUAUUAAUUGGCGUUGCAAGUAAAUGAAAAUAAGUUGUGAUUGCCUUAAUGGUUGGAUUGAAAAUUGUUGUGUGUAACAUCUAACUUUGAAAAUGGAGUAUUAGCUUUUGCGGAUCAUUAAUGUAUGAUUUAUUACAAGCACACUUAUGUACAAAUACAAUGCUUGAGCUCAAUUUGCUAAUGUUGCUGCCUCCACUUCUUGCCUACAUCAUUUUUCACUCUUCAGCUUAUUCAACAUGAUAAAUUCCUCAUUGAAUUCUGAAGGAGGAGAAAGAAAAGAAGUAUCCAUUAAUCAAAUAUUUUGGUUAAAAAAAAAGAAUUGCAAUUUGCAUGCGCCUUACUUUCUCAAUUUGGAUGCCAAAAAAGAAGAAUAAAAAUAAAAAUAAUAGUAAUAGUAGGAGUAAUUUUGGAUGCCAAAAAAUUUAUAUGCAUGAUAUCCACAAAUAAAAUCCAUCAUUUACACAAAAUGGAUAGCUUAAUAGGCAUACACAAUAACAUACAUUGAUAUUUUCGGUACUUUAAAUUAAUAGAUACAGAAGUAGAAGUAAUGGUAUUGUACAUCCAAUUUAUAAUGAUAAUUAAGACGUGCAAUUUCUGUAGAGAUAUUUACACUAUAUAAAACAUCGAUUUUUUUAUUAAAAAUUUGUUAAUGAAACAAAUUAUAAAAUUAAAUAAUAUUUAAAAAAUUAUAAAAAUUAAACUUAUUGAAUCAAAUUGUUUUGUAGUUAAAAUUUGAAUCGAAACAUGAUUCAAUAAUUGUCAUUCAAAAAAUUAAACUUAUUGAAUUAAAUUAUUUUGAAUGACACGUAUUAACAAUUAGUUUUGACCUUCACUUUUAUUCCUUCAACAUUUUUUCAUUUUAUUUUCAUUCCUUUCACUUUCUUUUCUCAUCCAAACAAAAUCUUAGUGUAUAAGAAAGUUACUUACAUAGCAAGCUAGUUCAUAAAAUUCUCUAUUGGUUAGACUACAAUAGUUUGUAUGAGAAUUCUUUCUUGUAUAAAUAGAUUAUGUAUUCUCCUUAUUCAUUAAUAAAACAAUUACAUUUUCAUUCAUGUUUAUCACUUCAAAUGAAUGCAACCACUGAAUCAGUCGACACCAAAAAUCAAAAAAACUUUUGAUCUUAUCAAGGAGUUUAGAUGAGUGUCUGCCUACAAAAAUUGCUGGUUUAACAAUUGUUUUUUUGUUUAUUUUUCAAAUAUGGAAUAGUGCAGUGGUUGGUUUAAAUUUGUAGUAUUACAAGUGUAAUUUGUGUUAAUUAAAAUAAGCAUAACCAGCUAAGAGGAUCCAAUUCAGUGGAUUAACCCGUUUCAAUUAUGUGGGCUUAAGUGUCGGGAAAGUAAUAAAAUAUUAGGAAAAAGGCAAAGCGGAAACAAGCUUUUGACUUAAUUGUAUUUUUGGUCCAUUAUUUUUAUUAAUUGGUGGAACUGGUCUCUCCAUUUUAAAAGUUAACAGUUUUGGUCUAUCCAUAAAAUAUUGUCUAAAAUAUGAUGAUAUGACGGUGAAUUCUAGGGUGAUGGUUCAAUUAAGUCUCUUACCGAUGAACCAUUAUGAACAACACUCCCUCCGUCCCUCAUUAGAUGACCUAUUUGACGAUAUAUAUUAUGACUUAACAUACUUUGACCAUAUUUUUCUACUAAUUCACAAAGAUAAAUAAUAUCAUGUAAGAUGUUGUUGGAUUUGUCUCAAUGAAUAUUUUUAAAUAUUAAAUUUUCAUAAAAAAUUUUAGUAGGGAAUUGAAGAUAUCAAAGAUAAAACAUAUGCAUUUGUACGUGUGUCGGAGUCAACUAGAUCAUCUAAUAUGAAACGAAGGGAGUAAUUAAGAACCAUUGGAUCAAUAAAGCGCACGAAUCUAUUAUGCACUCUAUGCAUCCGAUCAUUUUGUCUCCUCUCUCAUCUUCUUCUAACCUGUUCCCAUCCUCUUAGUUCCUGGUUUUGCACAAGCCCUCCCUUCUACAUUAUAUCGGCAUAUUUCCUCUCGGUGUUGUGUUAGACCAACAUUAUAUCUCAUGAAAUGUUGUUUUUAACUAAAAUAUUAAAUUUGUUGUUCCAGUUCCAUCUGGUGCUACGAAGAACACAUUCAAGAUUUCAUCCUUUUUUUAAAAUUAUGAAGAUGAAAAGUUCAACUUUUUAAAUAUCAAAUCAUGUAUGCAUUAUGAAAUCAAGGAGGUGGUUACGUGCAAAAAUUUAUAACUCAAAUUGGUUUAUUGAAAAAAAAAUUGGCAUUGUUUCAAGAAGCAUAUAAAAUGCUUUUUUUUUUUUUUGAAACGGCAAAAUAUAUUCAUCGUCGAGAGGAUGAAAGAAACACCAACAACCUACUGUAAGGAAAUACAACCAACAAUACAACAAGAAAAACAACCUAACAAUGAAACAAUCUAAGCAAGGCCAUAAUAAUGAGGCCGAGGUAUACACCAGCAAAACCAAAAGCCACUAAACCCACAAGGAAGAAUAAUACCCUUAAGCUAACACCACAUGAAUACCCAUGCCUCACCACCAAGCCUCGCGCACAGCAGCAAGCACACAGCCCCACAACAUCAUCAAUUAAGGCUUAAAGCAUUAUGUUUGUUUUAGUGUGUCUUGGUCAAAAGAAUUUAUGGUGGCAGCUAUUUUUUUUUCAGAAUUUUUGGUUAGAGAGGAAUCCGAUGGGGAGGAGAAACGGAAAGGGACAUGAUUGUGUGUAGAAAUCUAAAGUUGUUUUUAUUUUUGUUUUAAGUAAAUCUGAACCAUUAAUUAAAUCAAAUGGUAUUUUAUUCAUGAUCCACCAGUGAGGGACUUAAUUGAAUCCUCACCUUAAAAUUCACAUGAUAUAUGACAUGUUUUAAACGAAGUUUUUAAGAAUUUUUUUUAUAAUUUCAUCAAUGUUGAUCUUUUAGUUCAUAAUCAUGAUUGAUGGGCUAAAACUGUCAAAUUUUUAAAUAGUGUGAUAAUUGUACAAAAUAGUAAAAGUAAAGAGAUCAAAACUAAUUAAUCUAAUUUUUUAAAGGUGUUUAUUGAAGAGGACAUAAUACUCUCUUUUAGGAUAAAGAGAUGUAUUAUAAUAUUAUUAAAUACUAUUUUGUUGUUCCACACGUUAUGAAAAAGUUAUUAUUUUUUUAUAAGAAAUUUUAAAGUGAAGGAAGACAGAUAAAUUUAAGAAAUAGAAACUUAAAAUUGAGUGUGACGGAACACUUACGAGGAAAAAAAAAAGUUAUCUAAUUAAUCAUGUAAAAGCAAUUCAGAGAUGAUAAAUGAUUAUGGAAAUGUUUAAGGAGUUCAUUUCUGUUCUAUAAAUUUGCCAACUAAAUAACAUAUAUGUACAUAUAGGAUAAACAUCGUACUGAUUGUUGAUCGAACAAUGUAUGCAACUCAAUCUUAGUCGUAAUAAUGCUAUCUUUCUUUCAUUUUAUUUUGAUAUUUUUCCGCAUUUUUAUACUAAAUGUUCUUGUCAUUGCAAUUUUACAACGUUUGUUCAUUCUUACACGUACGUUUCUUAUACUGCAAGCAAAGACUUCAAAAGGAAAGUCUAUCAAACUAAGUAACAUCUUGUUUUCUUCUAUAAUGGUGAUUGGUGAUAAUGGAGUGACUUGGUGUCACGUGGGACAUUAUUGGGUGGAUGGAAAGUGAUAUAUAUUUCACUGUACUGUACCAUAUAAAAAUUUCCACCUUGGAUACGAGUUCCCAUUUCAAGUUAGUUUAAGUAACUUUUUUUGUGAACACAAGUUGCAGCAGGAGAAGGAUCACCAUGGCUUUCAAUUAUACUACUACCAAGGUCAGAUAUCUCUUUUCUUAUGUUUUUCUUUCUGUGAUUACUGAUUAACAUUAGACUAUAAUAUAUAUAGAUGAUGGUAUUAAUUUGUUACUUCUUAUGGCAAUUUUAUUGAUUAAUUAACUGAUUGAGCACACAUAUGGUAAAAUCUACAUAAUGUUCUCCUAAUUGUUUUGAGAAAUAUUACCCAAAUUAAUACUAAGAGAAGGGUAGAGGGUAGCAGCAAGAGGUAUUGUUUGUUUAUUUAUAUGAUAGAGGUUAACAAUAUAAUGCUAAAACUGUAUUUGGUUAAGUUUGUAGUGUUACAAAUCAAAAUAUAGUUUUUUUUUUUUAAGCAAUCAAAUAUAGUAAUUGUUGAACUAAAACCAUUGAUCCUAAAUCUUUUUCUUAGAAUAAAUAAAUGAAGUUCAAUUUUCACAUUACUUUUCUUUUCAACAAUAAACCUGCGAGUUUUUCUUUUACUUCAAU